UCCCUGGUGGCCCAGUGGUUAGGGCUCGGUGCUUUCACUGCCGGGGCCCCAGGUUCAAUCCCUGGUCAGGAAA
Globicephala melas (long-finned pilot whale) is the source of this 73-nucleotide non-coding RNA. The record is from the annotation of a RefSeq genome assembly. Lineage: Eukaryota; Metazoa; Chordata; Mammalia; Artiodactyla; Delphinidae.